Non-coding RNA from Danionella cerebrum, 72 nucleotides. The record is from the annotation of a GenBank genome assembly. NCBI's taxonomy places the organism in Eukaryota, Metazoa, Chordata, Actinopteri, Cypriniformes, Danionidae.
GUAGGAUAUGGUAUAGUGGUAUUGCUGCCGUCUUUCACAUGGGAGACCGGGGUUCGAAUCCUGGAUGGGGCA